ACUCCAGUUGAUCCUGCUGGAGGGUACUGCUAUCAGAGUUCGAUUAAGCCAUGCAAGUCUACUCUUGCACUUGUAAGAGUGGCAUACGGCUGAGUAACACGUAGUCAACCUAGCCUAAGGACGUGGAUAACCUCGGGAAACUGAGGCUAACCCGCGAUAAAUCAUCUAUGCUGCAAUGCUUGAUGGUUUAAAAGGCAAGUGAAUUGGAACUUGUCCGCCUUAGGAUGGGACUGCGGAGGAUUAGCUAGUAGGUGAGGUAACGGCUCACCUAGGCGAUAAUCCUUAGGGGCCAUGGGAGUGGUGGCCCCCAGAAGGGUACUGAGACAAGGACCCUAGUCCUACGGGAUGCAGCAGGCGCGAAACCUUUACAAUGCGCGCAAGCGUGAUAGGGGGACUCUGAGUGGUGUAAGCUUAGCUUAUACCUUUUGCCGACUGUAAAUAAAACUUUUUCGGGUUGCCUAAAAAGCUUCACCAAAAAAUUUAUAAAGGUCGGAGAAUAAGGGUGUGGGCAAACAAAUCUGAAGAUUUGCUUAUACAUGACAGUCUUUAGGAAUUGGCCUAAGACUGGUGGCAGCCGCCGCGGUAAAACCAGCGCCUCGAGUGGUACCCACGAAUAUUGGGUCUAAAGCGUUCGUAGCCGGUCUAUUAAGUCCACUGUGAAAUGUUGGAGCUCAACUCUAACGCGUGCAGUGGAUACUGUUAAACUUGAGAGCGGGGGAGGACAGGAGUACUUCCAGGGUAGGGGUAAAAUCCGUUGAGCCUGGAAGGACUACCAGUGGCGUAUUGCACGACAUGUCACAAAUUUAAAUUUUAAUAUAAUGAGAUGGAGUGCAAGCUAAGGCGUCUGUCCAAAACGCAUCUGACGGUGAGGAACUAAAGCGAGGGGAGCGAACGGGAUUAGAUACCCCGGUAGUCCUCGCUGUAAAUUAUGUCGACUGUGGUGUUAUACCAGAGUAAUCUGGUAUAGUGCUGUAGGGUAGACAAGAUGUAAGGGUUUUUAGGUACGUGCUUACAUCUUGGCUUAGCUGUUAAGUCGACCACCUGGGGAGUACGAUCGCAAGAUUGAAACUUAAAGGAAUUGGCGGGGGAGCACCACAAGGGGUGGAUAUAUAGAUUAGCAUUAGUGCUAACUAUACCGAAAGCUACGGUUUAAUUGGAUACAACGCCGGGAACAUCACCAGCGGCGACGGCAGAAUGAAGGUCAGACUAAAGAUCUUGCCUAACGAGCCGAGAGGUAUUGCAUGGCCAUCGUCAGCUCGUGGUGUGAACAUGAUUCAUGUUGAUUGUGAAUUCAUGGCACAAAUUGUCCUGUUAAGUCAGGCAACGAGCGAGACCCAUGCUCUUAGUUGCUAACUUUAUCUCCGGAUAAGGUGCACUCUAAGAGGACUGCCCGUGCUAAAUGGGAGGAAGGAGUGGGCAACGGUAGGUCAGUAUGGUCCGAAACCGCUGGGCUACACGCGGCAUACAGUGGGUGGAACAAUGGGCUGCAACUCCGAAAGGAGGAGCUAAUCCCCUAAAUCCAUCCGUGGUUCGGAUUGAGGGUUGAAACUCACCCUCAUGAAGAUGGAAUCCCUAGUAAUCGCGGGUCAUCAUCCCGCGGUGAAUUUGUCCCCGCUCCUUGCACACACCGCCCGUCAAGUCACCCAAAUGUUUAUUCGGUGAGACCUAGGUUCUUGCCUAGUUCGAACCGAUUAGACGUGAGGGGGGCUAAGUCGUAACAAGGUAUCCGUAGGGGAACCUGCGGAUAGAUCACCUCCG
Molecule: ribosomal RNA, 1758 nt
Filed under: Microcaldota archaeon
Lineage: Archaea; Nanobdellati; Microcaldota
Description: bacterial SSU rRNA
Rfam family: Archaeal small subunit ribosomal RNA
Source: RNAcentral